GACACCUGUGAGUUAGAUGGACUACCUGUGAAGUUCACACAGUGUAGCUUGUUGGUGGUCAGUAUUGACAGGUCAGCUGGUAUAAUACUUCACUAAAGCCUCAAAUACUGUAGUAAAUAUUCAAUUCAAUUCAAUUUCUUUAUUGUCCCACAAGGGGAAAUUAGUUUAGCAGCAGGAUAUAAAUAAACAGAACAAUACUAUAAAAUAAUAAUGACAAUAAUAGUGAUUAAAAAGUCCAAGAACAGUUAUUUGCCAUUGAGGAGACAAGAUGCAGUGGGGAUAAAAGAGACCUGGAGUCUUUUAGUCUUCCUCACAGGUACUCUAAAACGGCGGCUGGAAGGCAACAACUCAAACUCAAUCUUCAGAGGUUUUCAGCUACCUUAUCAAAUACAUUUAAAUGGAAACCAAUAUUAAAUGGAAACUUUCACCACAAGGUUGUAACAUUUUACCAAAAACAUUAAGUGUAGUUGUCCACCCCAACCAGGAUUACAUACUUCUAUGUACUUUUAAAAUUAUUUACUUCCUAAUAGAAGAUUUCUACCUAACCUAAUGCUUCUAAACUGCAUCAUCUCUGGUCUUGUAACUAAAGGCUAACCAGUAACGCGAAUUAGGUACAAAUUCUGGACUCGAUGUGAUUCCAGUUCAUAUUACAUGAGAAUACAGCCUGACAAUGUUUUAACUUUAGCUGACAUCUCUGCGAUGCGAUACAUCAGGGUUUAAGCAACCUUUAAAGAUUGGGUCAUGUCAGGGAAAAACUUGCAUUAAUCAUACUUAAAAAAAGAAAGAAAAAAAAAAGAUGGAUUCAUCUGUGUCAGAGAUAUUUCAGAGAUUGUAUUCCUUGUAGAACACCUGUCCUAUCACUGGUGCAUUGUGUUUGUAGCAGCUAGCUUAAUGCAGAAAUAAAUAGCUACAAUGAGAUAUAGAUUUCACUAUUUAGUAAAGAGAUAUGACACCAAAGAGAACAUUUCACACAUACUGUGUUUCAGGCCGCCUGUGUCAUUCACUGAUUUAACCUCAGUAAUUUUGAAAAUGCCCAUUGUGAUUUGUGAGCAUAAAACUGUGCAUUCCUACACAAAGUUAUUUUUUCAGAGCACAAUUGAAUGCUUAACUCAAAAGAGCUUUGUCCCCCCCACCGAAAUGCAGACAUUUCUAUUUCUAACAUUAAAAAUUGUUACAUUUUGUUCAGUACCAGGG
This is a long non-coding RNA of Astatotilapia calliptera (eastern happy), 1194 nucleotides long. NCBI's taxonomy places the organism in Eukaryota, Metazoa, Chordata, Actinopteri, Cichliformes, Cichlidae. The record is from Ensembl.